Agrilus planipennis (emerald ash borer) is the source of this 2722-nucleotide long non-coding RNA. RefSeq lists it as uncharacterized. NCBI's taxonomy places the organism in Eukaryota, Metazoa, Arthropoda, Insecta, Coleoptera, Buprestidae. The transcript has 7 exons. The record is from RefSeq and is a predicted model, not a curated record.
CCUCCAUUCCAGCCCUGUGCAAUUCUGGGAUAAGGCGAAGCCAGACACUUAACUGAUGAGCACGGAAGUGAUUCUUCAUCUUCGGUUUCAUACCUGUAACAAAAUUCCACGAUGAAACACAUCAGAGGUAACACAAGUUACAUUAGCUUUGUGACAGUUUUGUGAAGUAUUACUCUCUAUCGCUUGAAACCUCCAAAUGAUCCACGCUGAUGGAUUUCACCUCUAAUAUUCUCCUACAGGUGUAACAAAUACGAAAUUAGAUAUCGUACAGCAUCCAUCAAAUAAAUUCCGUAGGAUCUGUUCUUUAAAAAUCGUUAAGAAAUUGUUUUAUCAGAACAGAUGCCUAUAUUAACCUCUAUAAAUUUUAUAAUUCCUAUGAAGAUUAUCGUGAAAAAGGGUACUGCCCCGAUUUUGAAAAAAUAUCAAGUAGGUACGUAUCUAAUAGUUAGCAAUUAAUUUAUUUGAGGUCUUUUUCUCAAUAACUGUACCAAAAAUAAUAGUCCUGAACCAUAUCUAUCAAAAUGCAAUAAGGAAUAGUAAAAUUAUUAAAAUUAUUACGAUAAAUUACCUUCGUUUUAUACUUUACUUUCUUUAGUGAAGUAGUCUGGAAAACAAAAACAUCGCCUGUUAAAUAUCGGACAAUAAGCAAUUAAUGAAAUUUUAAGUUUAUCGGUUUUGAUAGUUUAAAAGCGAUGGUUUAGUGUCGGUUGGUGAACGAGUAGGAAGUAAAAGACACUCAUCAGUUCCAAUCAUGGGCAAAUAAAACGGAAAAUGAAGCACUUAUUGUGCAGAUGUAUGGCAUUGCAGACGCGUUAAACGCUCGAGAGAAUCUAAUAAGUCGAGAAAUUGCAAUGUCAUUUCAUGGCUGAUUUGUCCUCCGUUGGCUUUGCUCAAGCGCCUCUUAUUGCGCUUAUCAGCUCAUUUAUUCGAGUGUUAACACAUUCUCUUUGCUGCUUCUUCCUCCCACACUGUCCUAAUGAACAACUCAAUACACAACCCAGCAUGUAUGUCAAUUCUCUCUAAACGUACACGUGCACAAUUGGUACACAUUUGAAACAGUACUAAACACGCUUUAAUCAAACGUAUUCUCGACUUCUCCAAGAUAGAAAUAAAUUUCAUAUCUAAUUUCUUGAAACUUUUAUCAAAACGGUAGCUAAAGGUAGAAUCCAUUACUACAGAAAAUUUUAUUGUAAAUAUAAAAUUACUGUAAAGUUUGCACGUCUAUACAUUGAAAGCAUUUGUAGAAAUGUAAGGGAUAUUAAGGGAUUAGUACAGUUGAUGGUGCGGAUUUUUGUUUAUUUCACAACACCAACGAGCUAGUUCGGAUUGAGUCAUUGACAAUUAACCAUCAGGAAAACCAUGAGCCGACUAUGAGAUAUGCUUUUCCUUUCAAGUUACAUUAUAGUUCAUAAUUCAAUAAUUUUGGUGCAAUUUGCUUUAUCUCAUUUUAGUUUUCUGUUAUUAAUUAUUUAUUACUUAUAUAUUUAGUUAUUCAGAUAUGGACAAACAUUUUAUCCUAUCUAUAAAUUGUAUUUUUAGUAUUUCUUAAGGGACUGAAGAGAAUUUCAUUUCAAAUUAGACAAAGGUCGUUUUAGGUAACGUCACACAAAGGUAACCACCUUCAAUGAUCCUUAUUAUACAUUUUCAUGCUAGGCUAAACCCCGUCCCCCUUUAAUUACGUAAUUAUUUAUUAAUUUGUCUGCGCUUUAUCCUUUCUAUUAUACUAAACAUUCUGUACCAGCAUAUUUUAUUAAUUUUUUCCAUGUUGUACGAAUGAUAACGAUAAUACAAUACCAAACAAACAAACAUAUCUACUUUUCUUUAAAAUAUUGUGUAAUAACAUUAAAUCGCCCUGUAUAGCGUUAGUCUAUUCGGUUAUCUGAAUGUCAUGUUGUUGGCAACAAGUACGUCAUAGCAGAGCUUCGCGUUUCAUCCUUCGUACAAUGCCGGGCAACAUUAUUCGUACUGGAUAUAAUAUGCCAGUAUUUUGUUACAAUAAAGACAAUCGGUUCUCGAGUGGAUGUUUUGUUUAUUGUAAUUGACUUUAGCAAGUGUUUUUUUGGAUGAACAAUACUUCCAUAUAAUUGAUAAAAUGGAGUAGCAAUAUAAGAAAGAUAAAUUCAGAUAUUUACCAAUCCUGGAUUACCUACCUACUCAUGCCAGAGUCCACAGGGAAAGCUUUUCUAAUCAAGGCGAGCCGUGGUACUCAAUUGUUCCUAUGGUAUGGUAUGGUAAUGUUUACGGAGUUUUCUUCGAGCCCCAUGGAAAAUCAUUAAUUUGUAGGAUCGUUAUAGGGGCGAUUCUUUGGCUUCGUGUAAUGCUUUAAAGUGAUUACUUCUCCUCGGUUUAAAACGAUUCCCGAACAAAGAUGGUCCUUCUACAGUUUAUAAUGUCAACAGAUCACAAAGCUAUUUUUCGCAUUCCUUCUCUAAAAGGAGAUGAAAGUUCGUUGGAAUUGCUGUGUUGGAACGAUGUUAGUUGGUUGCUGUCACAACGCUAUUUAUGGUUCCUUUCUACACGAUCAUGGAGAAGAUUCAUUGGAAAGUAUGUACCGGGAAUGCACCGAUGAAUUGAUUACGACCUCAACGGUAAAUGAGCGUUAUUCAAUUAAUAAUUCUCGUUAUAUUUUUUAUUUUCUAAUUGAUUUCAUUACUUUUAGAAAGUCAGCUGAAAAAUAUUAUGUUUGUUAAUUUCCUCUCCCCAAGUUCCCUGUUUAAGGAAA